This 1546-nucleotide long non-coding RNA is filed under the name Carica papaya (papaya). RNAcentral describes it as "long non-coding RNA (CPAP_LNC008083)". The record is from RNAcentral. Lineage: Eukaryota; Viridiplantae; Streptophyta; Magnoliopsida; Brassicales; Caricaceae.
ACAGGUGGAAGUUGGCAAGUACUCACAUACAUCUAUAAACUCCAUAUAUACACAUAUAGCGCCCAUAAACGUAGGCGGUAGUACAUAUACGAUAUCGUCUCUGCAGCAACCAUGUGUCGUCCUCUGAACUCCAAGGAACUGCAGCGGAUUUUUGAGAAGCUGGACAAGAAUGGGGAUGGAGUCGUGAGCGUAGAGGAGAUAAAGUGGGUUUUGGAUGGAAUCGGAGUGGCGAUUAGCUUGGAGGAGAUUGGGUUUGUAGUGGGAGGAAAAUCGAGUCUGAACUUGAAUGAGUUCAUCUCAUUCUAUGCCUCCAUUUCUUCUUCUUCUUCUUCUUCUUCUUCUUCUUCUUCUUCAAAUGGUGAUGACGACGACGACGACGACGACGAUCUUGUUAAGGCGUUUAAAGUGUUUGACAUGAAUGGGGAUGGCUUCAUAUCAUGCGAAGAGCUUCAAAUGGUGCUAUCGAGGCUGGGAUUAUGGGAUGGUAAAGAUUGCAGGGUCAUGAUUUGUGUUUAUGAUACUAAUUUAGAUGGGAUGCUCGAUUAUCAAGAGUUCAAACACAUGAUGUCCGUGCAUGCUGUUUCUUAGAUUAGUGUAUGUAUAUAUAUAUAUAUAUAUAUGUAUAUGUAUAUGUAUAAUUAAUUAGUUUCAACAAGUUUUGCCACUUCAUUAUAACAGUAUAUACACCAGACUGAGAUUAGUAGGUGAUACAUAUGUAAUUGAUUCAUUUUACAUCUUUAUACUUUUGUAUUUCUUAUAAAAUCCUAAAAUAAAUCAACUCAAAGCAGCCUACUGUUGAAUUUAAGAAUCCAGAAGAAUGUAAUUUAUCAUAAUAGCCACUCCUGUUCUUCUAUUUAUUUACUUCACGUGUUCCUACACACACAUAUAUAUAUAUAUUGAUUUCCAUUGAUCAUACAUGCACACAUACAUAUAAUACAUAUAUAUAUAUAUAUAUAUAUAUAUAUAUUGGUCGGUUCCACAGACCAAUAUAGUUUUACUUACCAAAAAAAAGACAAGUGUAAUUGCAAAUAACAUUAAAUACAAACCCAAAUUUGAAAUAUUUCUUCUUCAUUUUCAAACUUUGUUCAUAAUAAAGUUCAAAGUUUGAGCAUAAAGUCUACAUAUAUAACAAAUUGUAAAGACAACUGAAAAUUGUAUUUCAAAGUUGACUUCUUCCCCACACGUUAAAAAAAAGGGAUGCUAAAUGCACUUCAACUUUUAGAAUUAAAUUACCCUAAUCUUGAGUUUAAGCAAUUAAAUACAAUAAUUAUAUUUAGAAAACUAGUCAAUAUACCAAAAAUUAUUUGAAUACUUAGUUUUAUCUUAAUUUUAAAUUUAAUUAAUUAAAUAUAAAAAUUAUAUUUAAAUAAAUAUUCAGUCCGUUAAAAAUAUAUAACUCAAAUAACGUAAUACUUUUAUACGAAAGCAAACGAAUCAUGUUCAGUCACCCUAUAUAAAAUAAAAAAAAACUCUUCAAACAAUAUUGUUAAAUUAGAUGUUAUUUGACGUAUUAAUUAAUAUUACGUGAUAUAAUACGUUAAUACUG